RNAcentral lists this long non-coding RNA (771 nucleotides) under Cricetulus griseus (Chinese hamster). Its description in RNAcentral is "lncRNA (ENSCGRG00015033789.1)". Lineage: Eukaryota; Metazoa; Chordata; Mammalia; Rodentia; Cricetidae. The record is from RNAcentral.
UUUUAAUUCAUUGUUUGGAACCAGCAAGUACCCAACAGUUUAGUCUAAACCUAAGUUUUAACCAAGAAAGUAUUCAUUGUAUGUGCUACCAAGGAAAUACGGUGGUUUGUCAGAUAGCACACUAACUAGCGUCAGCAUUACUAAUGGUGACAGACGGUUGCAAAGCUCUAGCAAAGGACUCCCCAGUGAGUCAGAGGCCUAUCAUCCAACUGCCUGCUUACCAGCUUUCCUUCCUGUGAGUCACUUUAAGGAACGCAACUUCUUCUUUCUGUUUUCACCUUUCCUCUGCUCCAAUCAGUGGCUGUUAAAGCCACAUUAUAAUUCUGAGAAGUAUUAAUAGAUAUGACUGGGUCUCUCCAGGACAGCUCUUAGAAUGGAAGUAGGAGAAUGGACAUAAAAGAAGAUGCUCAUUUACCAAAUUGGAGAUGUCCCCUGCUAUUCUUUCUCUGAGAGCUGUUGACCAUGACUAGAACUCCAGUCUCUGGACCGGCACUGCCCUCAUCCAGGAUAGCACUUCUCACCUCACCUCAGUUAAGCCUUUCAGGAAACACCAUCAUGGACACACUGCAGAGGUGAGUUUGGAUAUUUUGGACCAGCAAGAUGGACCAGUGAGUAAAGGUACUUGCUGCCAAGCCUGAGGACCUGAGUUUGAUUCCCCAGGAACCAUACAGUGGAAGGAGAGAAUUGAUUCCCACAAACUGUCCUCUGACCUCCACAUGGACACUGUGAUACAUGAUGUCCACACACAAUAAAAUAUGAAAAAGGUCUAGC